RNAcentral lists this ribosomal RNA (464 nucleotides) under uncultured bacterium. RNAcentral's name for it is "partial 16S ribosomal RNA". It matches the Rfam family "Bacterial small subunit ribosomal RNA", at positions 28 to 507 of the family's 1533-position model. The record is from RNAcentral.
GACGAACGCUGGCGGCGUGCUUAACACAUGCAAGUCGAACGGAAAGGCCCUGAUCUUGGGGUUCUCAAGUUGGGAACGGGCGAGUAACAAACGCGUGAAUAGCCUACCUCUAAGACUUAAGCCACGGCGAGAAACCGUAGCACCGGCCAGAUGAUAUUUUUAGCGUCAUGGUUGGAAAGUUAAUUAGGGGUUUGCUGUCAUCGCUGCCUAUCAGCUUGUUGGUGGGGUUAUGGCCUACCAAGGCGGCGUAGGGUAGCCGCCCUGCGUGGGUGGACGGCGACAUUGGGACUGAGAUACGGCCCAGGCUGCUACGGGAGGCAGCAGGGGGGAAGAUUGCAGAAUGGGCGCAAGCCUGAUGCAGCGGCGCCGCGUGGGGGAUAACGGCCUUCGGGGUGUAAACUCCUUUCGCUAGGGACGAAGCUUUUGUGACGGUACCUAGAUAAGAAGCACCGGCUAACUACGUG